This 2973-nucleotide long non-coding RNA is filed under the name Homo sapiens (human). Its description in RNAcentral is "HSALNT0238657". The record is from RNAcentral. Lineage: Eukaryota; Metazoa; Chordata; Mammalia; Primates; Hominidae.
CUGACCAUCAUCACAGAGACCUCAGAUGUCGGGGAGCUGAGGGCUGCACUCUGACGGCUGCUCUUUGUUGUAAAUUUCUUUCUCAGGGGCCUGGAGAGAGUCAUGCCCACAGGCCAGACCUUAACAUUCCUUUCUGCUGACCCCAAGUUUUCGACAAAGCCUGGCUUCCUUAACCAAUUGCAAUCAAAGAAUCCUGAAGCCGCCUAUGACCUGUAAGCCCCUUGCUUCAAGAGCUUCCGCCUUUUUGGGCCAAACCAAUGUAUACCCUCUGCAUUGAUUUAUGGUUUCCCUGUAACUUCUGCUUUCCUGAAUUGUUCCCCUGCCUUUAAAAUCCCUUGCUUGUAAGCCAUCCAGGAGGUUGGGUCUGAAGUUUCCAUGAUGGAAAAUCUAAUGGCCACUUUCCAUUACCACAUCCCAGGAGCAGUCCAGCUUUUGGCUAUGAGGAAUAAGCCUGCUGAGAACAUUCAGCUCCAGGAUUUUGUGUGAAUGGACAGAGAAUUUACAGCUUACCGAGCCAGGCCAUUGCACUUUUGGACAACUCUACUAAAUGGAUUUUCCUCAUGCCAUUGCAUAACUGCUACCUGCCACCAGAGCCUCAGAAAUACAUGGUUUUCCAUCAAGCACUCAUGGAACAUGUAACUGUGGGCGCUUCUAGGGCGGUUCAUGAUGGAUCCUCCAAGAUCAACUAAAUAUAAAACAAGCUCCCAGCUGAGGCAGCUGCUCUCGCCUCUUCUUUCACUCGCUCCUGGCAGCACAGCAAUCUCUGCAAGUUACUUGGACCCUCAGGACUCCUUGUUCAAGUGCAAUGGAGGACCAUGCAGAUGGCAGGGAAAACCAAAGAAAGCUCAGGUGGCCCAUCAUGGCUGUCAUCGGUGGAAGAACGUCUCUAUUUAACACUGAACCUUAGUAAUGACAUGCUCUCCCCUUGUCCUGGACCUUCAUUUUGAAAUAGAGCAUUCGGGUGGGAGGGGAACCACGGGGGCAUUUCAAUCCUGAACCUGCUCUGGGCGGUGGCUCUAGCCUUUGGGAUUUUGUGCUCAUUUACAGUUUUUUGAGAUGGAAUCUUGCUCUGUCUCCCAGGCUGGAGUGCAGUGGUAUAAUCUUGGCUCAGUGCAACCUCCAUCUCCUGGGUUCAAGCAAUUCUCCUGCCUCAGCUUCCUGAGUAGCUGGGAUUACAGGUUCACGCCACCAUGCCCAGCUAAUUUUUGUAUUUUUAGUAGAGAUGGGGUUUCACCAUGUUGGCCGGGCUGGUCUCAAACUCUUGACCUCAAGUGAUCCACCUGUCUCGGCCUCCCGAAGUGUUGGGAUUACAGGCGUGAGCCACCACGCCUGGUCUGUCCUCAUUUACUUAAAGAGCCAUUACUCACCCCCAAUUCCCCAUAGAUAGUGGCCAACUUCUUUGAAAUCUGGAGACAUUUUCAAAUGCUCAACCCUUUUUUCAGCAAUUCUAUCUGUUUCUAAAAUAAGUGUCACUCAGGAUGGAUAUGCUUUUAGAGAAACACUGUGACAAAGACCCUUUGCUCCAGAGGAAGGACCUGCAGUGGCCCCAGGCUGUGGCUCCAGCAUCACUUGAGACAGUGUGAACAUUUGGACACAAUUAAAAUGAGGACACUUAAUCAAAGAACACACUUACAAAGGAAAGGGGCAGGAAAGCCAGGAGGCAGCAGGUGUGGGACCCCACAUGGGACAGGCAGCUGUGUGUUGUUGGUACCACCUUCCUGCCAUGGCUUUCCUACACCAGCAGAGAGAAAGCCCAUUUCUGCUCUCUGCUGCAAGACUCUCUGGAUGGAAGGCCCAGUUCCACAGGAAAGAAAUCCUGGUGGCUGAGGCGUGCCUGUGCAUAGCCUGGAUGGCUCGGCCUGUGGCCGGCAGGCACCCAGGGCCCCUGGUGGGGGUCUCACCCGCUUGGGAUGGCCUCAGCUCCCAGGCUGCAGCCACCACUGCCAUUUCAAAGCUCCUCCAGCAUUCUGGAUGCUUAGCCAGCCUGGGGACCCUCUCUCUGCUCUUCGGGUAUCUUACAGGUAAGAAAGAUGUCAUUGUAAGCUUUUACCCUUGGAAACACAUUCAUUCCAAACAUAUCAAAAGAACUUAUUAGGCCGUGUGUGGUGGCUUAUGCCUGUAAUCCCAGAGCUUUGGGAGGCCCAGGUGGGCGGAUCGCUUGAGCCCAGGAAUUUGAGAACAGCCUGGACCUCCUUGACUUCUGGGGAGUUUAUGAGGGACCUGGACACUGUCAGAGUGGUUUUUUGUUUCCCUUUGUGUACAGUUUUGAGUUCAUUGUUUAUGUAUUAGGGUUUGGAAUAGGAUCAUAUAAAUAUUUCAGGUCCUAAAAUAGCUGUGACAGUGUCACUAAUCUGCCCCUGAGCUGAACAUCCACCCCUCCGCCGCCAUUUAAUCCUCCAGUCAUGUGAGGGAGGAUGGGAGUCUGUGUGAACGUCAUUCUCACUCGCCUUCAAAGAUCAUAUCUGCCUGUCUCAUCUGUCAAGAACGUAGAGUUUGUUGUGAUGGUGUAUUCAAAAUAGACGAAACGUGUGGUCAUUGUACUUGGCAAACAGCUUUUCACGUCAGGAUGUUUCUGCCCCCGGCUCAGGGCUGGUCCGACUGUGUGAAGAAUGUGGCUCAGUGCAGGUGCCCAGUCUGCCACCCUCAGUCCCGCAGCUGCAGUGUUAGAAUAACUGUGCUGUGGGCACCCAGCGUUGGUGACAUGGGGAAUGUGGAAUAAUGAAUACUUAAUUCACAUGUGCUUAUAGAAAAAACUUUAUACAAUAAAAAUAACCAAUUGUUAUAUUUACAUCUUUUUCUGUCACUAUAUAUAAAAGGAAUCAAGAAUUUUCAUGCAGCUUCCGGGUAUUCUUGAGACUGGUAUAUCAUUUCUUUUUGAAAAGUGCAUUAUUGCAUAACACCACCUAGAUAAAUAUAUUUUUAUGUAUUUAUAAGUAUAUUUUAGCUCAAAAAUAUCAAUAGUAUACAUAGCUU